This 253-nucleotide ribosomal RNA is filed under the name uncultured bacterium. RNAcentral's name for it is "partial 16S ribosomal RNA". It matches the Rfam family "Bacterial small subunit ribosomal RNA", at positions 524 to 776 of the family's 1533-position model. The record is from RNAcentral.
UACGUAGGGUGCGAGCGUUAAUCGGAAUUACUGGGCGUAAAGCGUGCGCAGGCGGUUUUUUAAGCCAGAUGUGAAAUCCCCGGGCUUAACCUGGGAAUGGCAUUUGGGACUGCAAGGCUGGAGUUUGGCAGAGGAGACUGGAAUUCCUGGUGUAGCAGUGAAAUGCGUAGAUAUCAGGAGGAAUACCGAUGGCGAAGGCAGGUCUCUGGGCUAUAACUGACGCUCAUGCACGAAAGCGUGGGGAGCAAACAGG